UAAGGAGGCAUCCAAAGGGAUCGCAUUGAUCCCGGCCAUCUCUUCUUCUUCUUCUUCUUCUUCUUGUUUUUGUUGGCCGGGAAACUUGCUGAUUUAAAUUUGAAUGAUGAUGAGAUUAUGAGGAUCAUGCAAUCCCUUUGGAAGCCUCCUC
Molecule: microRNA precursor, 151 nt
Organism: Macleaya cordata
Lineage: Eukaryota; Viridiplantae; Streptophyta; Magnoliopsida; Ranunculales; Papaveraceae
Rfam family: mir-393 microRNA precursor family
Source: Rfam